Molecule: long non-coding RNA, 2969 nt
Organism: Oryctolagus cuniculus (rabbit)
Lineage: Eukaryota; Metazoa; Chordata; Mammalia; Lagomorpha; Leporidae
Source: RefSeq, a predicted model, not a curated record
AAAUCACCUAAAAAGUAGAAACACCUGGCCAUGUGUUUGGGGCUUGUGAAGGUGGUGAUGAUAGUGGUGAUUUAACAAGUGUGGCAGUAAAUCUCCCAUAAUGUAAAGUGGUUGCCAAGAAAUGGUUGCUCAGGGAGAGACUGCAUGUGGUAGGCAGAAUAAUAGCCCACCACCACAGAUGUCUACACUCCAAUUCCCAGAAUCUGAGAACAUGUUAGCUUACCUGGCAAAGGAGAAUUUAUGUUGUAGAUGGAAUCAAGGUGCUAAUCAGCUGACCUUCAAUUAGGGAGAUCAUGUUGGAUUAUGCUUUGGGAUAAAAUGAAGAUAUCAGGGAAGGAAGAAGCAAAUGUUUGCAGCCACAAACUUCCUUGAACUCUGACUGACACAGAUGAGGGUAACCUUGGAGCCACUGUGUCUGACUCAUAGCUAACACCACCUGACCUUUUGGUAAAAACCCCAAAUCUGAUCUUGCCAGCUGCCUUGGGCAGGCUUCCCCAUUGGAUUUGGCAUGGUUGACUUAUUUGUGAAAUCAGCAGAAAAUCCAUCCCAGCUGGGAGACAUCAACCCCCUCUAGCCAGAACACACCAGCUCUCUGCACCGGGAGAGUACUCUUCAAAGGACUUGGGUCUGAAGGGCCUCCUUCCCUGGUAGAAGGUGAACCACUGUGAAGCUGGACCCUGGAACAAGGGGUACUCUGUCUCUAAGCUUCUCUGCAACUGCUUAUGGGAGAAUAUGAUGACUUUCUGACCACAGCCACUGGAUGGAUAUGGAUUGGAGAGCUGAGGGAGAGAUAAUAACGGUGAUAAAAGUGAAACCACCUAUUUCUGCAGCUUCAUCAUCUAUACUCAAGCCAGCCUGAUCUUCAUUUCUUUUCCUCUUCUGUACCAAGCUUGAUCCAAAUCAGGGCUUAUGCACUUCCACCUGGUGUACCAUCUGUCCAGGGUGCUCUGCCUCCGGAUCUCCAGUGGGUGCCUCUUUCCCGGAUGGCAAUCUUGGAUUGAAGAUCAUCUCCUCAGCUCUCUGGCCAUGCUGAUAAUGGUGCCUGCUGCCAUGCCUGUUACUCUCAUAUACCGUUUAUUUUCUUCAGCAUUCCAAUAACUACUGAAAUUCUUAAUUCUCUACUUCCAACAUUGUCUAUCCUGUUCAAUUCUGUAGCCCCAGAGCCUGGAUCAGAGGCUGGACUUUGUAGCUGCUCAAUGCACUUUCACUGAACACUGCUAAGUGAAUGCCUUGACUGAGUGUGCAGCAGGUUUCUGCCCAUAAUUCUCAUGGACUACUCCACAUGACCCUAGGAAGUAUAUUCUGCUUUCCUUGAGUUACAGAGGCACCUACAGAAGCCCAGAUUGGGCAGAAAGACGCACUCAAGAUGCCACAAUUGGUAAGAUUUUCCUGGAGGAAUGAAGUCAUGCUGAUGAAGACAGUGACAUAAUCAAGUCACAUCACCCUGGACACCCUAGAGGAGAAAAGAAUUCCCAGGAGGACUUUUGACUGGCUUAUUAUCAUCCAGAAACAAGAAAUCAGACAGCGUUGUUAUUCCUUCCCUGCCUCAGGCUGGCUGGCAGGCACAUCAACAGUCAUCACAGUGAAGUUCUCUCAAUGGGCUCUUUGGGUUCAUCGAACAAUUCCUCAAAGUACAUCUUCAUGGAAUGUAUAUUUAGUGUGCCUUUUAUUCUCUUUAGUCUGCUGGCUCUUCCUGAUUUCUACUUUUGGUUUCAGUGCCAGGUACUCGAGAUGUCAGUUAACCAAAAAAGAUAUAUUCCGACUAAAGACUUAACAUAGAAUAACACCCAGGGCAGUAAAGCACAGUUGUCAGAUUAAUCAAUUGCACUUCUGUGUCCAUUUCUAAUGGGGAGAACACAGUAUCAGAUGGCUGAUUUUAAAAGAAUAUAAUUAAGUGCUACAAUAAAAGUAAUCACAGCAGACUAUAUGAGUAAAGAACAGCUGGAUCUUUAUUUUUCUGUAGUCAAACUUUUUGUUUUUCUUCAAAAAUUUUAAAAACAUUUGUACAGCUAUAUCAGGCUAUAAUUUAUGUAAUAUGAGUACAAAUCAAUGAUUUUAAUGACUUACAAAGAUGUGCAGCCAUCAUGUAAUUUGAUUUUAGAUUUUAUUCAUUACCCCCACCCACACAUAUUUGUAAUUGGUCCAUAUUCACACACCUUUGCCCCAGAAACCAUUGAUCUACUUUCUGUCUCUAUAAAAUUGUAUUUUUGUAUGUUUAAUAUAAAUGGAAUUAUGUAGUAUGUAGUCUGUGGAUCUGGUUUUAAAUUUACAAUAAACAUUUGAGAUUCAUUUAUAUUUUAGCAUGUAUCAGUAUUUUAGUUUCUUUUUUUACUUUAAUACAUAUUUAUAUUUAUUUAUAGUGCAAUUUUCUUGCACAUUUUAGAGAUUAGAUAGCUAAAUAGAUGGCACUGUGUUUCAUUUGCAAAACGUGUCAUCAUCAAACCAAUAUACAAAUGUGGGAUGGAGUAAUGUAAGUGCUUUAUUAUUUUAAGAGCUAACAUUCAAAGAAUAAAUAUUUUAGGAUAUUAAUCUAAAAUACACAUACAUAGAGAUAUAGAAAUGGAAAACAAGCAAAAUGAACAUUGUAACAAAUUUCCUCAUUUAGUUGAUUACUGAUAAAUAUUGCAAAGUAUGGAAAUAACACCUUUUACUUGCUCAUGCAUCUGGUUUUUAGACACUUGGAUUGCAUUUCUGUCUAUUCCAUUAAUGUAUUAUAAGCUUAUAUAUUCAAGUCUUUGUACAUAAGGUUUCAUUUUUCAGGUGGAUUAUUCUUAAAACUGGAAUUGCUAGGUUGUUUGGGUUAACUUAUGUGUAACUAUGUAAUAAACUCCUGAAUAAAAGUGAGUGUACCACUUUACAUGUCCAUGGGCACUUGAUGAGGAUUCCAUUUCUUCAUGGACUCACCAAUGCUUGGUAAUGUCUUUUUAAUUGUAGUCAUUCUAGUUGAUUGCAAUGAUUGUGGUUUUAGU